GACUCUCGGAAACAGAUAUCUAGGCUCUUGCAUCGAUGAAGAAAGUAGCGAAAUGCGAUACUUGGUGUGACUUGCAGAAUCCCAAGAACCAUCGAGUCUUUGAACGCAAGUUGCGCCCAAUGCCAUUAGGUUGGGGGCACGUCUGCCUGGGUGUCC
This 156-nucleotide ribosomal RNA is filed under the name Medicago truncatula (barrel medic). Its description in RNAcentral is "5.8S ribosomal RNA". It matches the Rfam family "5.8S ribosomal RNA". From Rfam's summary of the family: 5.8S ribosomal RNA (5.8S rRNA) is a component of the large subunit of the eukaryotic ribosome. It is transcribed by RNA polymerase I as part of the 45S precursor that also contains 18S and 28S rRNA. The record is from Rfam by way of RNAcentral. Lineage: Eukaryota; Viridiplantae; Streptophyta; Magnoliopsida; Fabales; Fabaceae.